GUGCUCACUUUGGCAGCACAUACACUAAAAUUAGAAUGAUAAGAGAAGAUGAUUAGCAUGGCCUCUGCUCAAGAAUGACACACAAAUUCAUGAAGCAUUACACAUUUUU
This is a small nuclear RNA of Cebus imitator (Panamanian white-faced capuchin), 109 nucleotides long. The record is from Ensembl. Lineage: Eukaryota; Metazoa; Chordata; Mammalia; Primates; Cebidae.